UGGGGAAUAUUGCACAAUGGGCGCAAGCCUGAUGCAGCCAUGCCGCGUGUGUGAAGAAGGCCUUCGGGUUGUAAAGCACUUUCAGCGAGGAGGAAGGUGGUGAGCUUAAUACGCUCAUCAAUUGACGUUACUCGCAGAAGAAGCACCGGCUAACUCCGUGCCAGCAGCCGCGGUAAUACGGAGGGUGCAAGCGUUAAUCGGAAUUACUGGGCGUAAAGCGCACGCAGGGCGGUUUGUUAAGUCAGAUGUGAAAUCCCCGGGCUCAACCUGGGAACUGCAUUUGAAACUGGCAAGCUAGAGUCUCGUAGAGGGGGGUAGAAUUCCAGGUGUAGCGGUGAAAUGCGUAGAGAUCUGGAGGAAUACCGGUGGCGAAGGCGGCCCCCUGGACGAAGACUGACGCUCAGGUGCGAAAGCGUGGGGCAGCAAACAGGAUUAGAUA
RNAcentral lists this ribosomal RNA (439 nucleotides) under uncultured bacterium. Its description in RNAcentral is "partial 16S ribosomal RNA". It matches the Rfam family "Bacterial small subunit ribosomal RNA", at positions 355 to 784 of the family's 1533-position model. The record is from RNAcentral.